UCGACUGGUUAACAGAAAAGAAAAACAGACAAUAGAGAGGGAUUAUUAACACAACGUUUGUGAAACAAGAAUUGAGUGGAAGCGAUUGGUUGCAUAAUGUGCUUAAUCGAAAAUGGUACGCUAACUUGUGCCUCGGGUAUCGCGCGAGCACAGUGACCAAUUAUGCGAUUCAAUUGAAACUUCACUGAUUUACAUUAUCAACAAUGCAAUACCACUACACUAAUCAACAAAAGGCAUUUUAACAUAUUUAUAAAUUUCACUAAAUAACACGAGAAAAAUAAUAAAAUUGUGUGACUUAUGUGAUCAUUAGCAUAUAAAAUUAUAAUAUUAAUCCAUUAAUUUCUGUUUCAGUAAAUUCUUUCCCUCUUCAUAUCUUUAAAAAAAAUCAGUAAAUGAUUUGUAUAAGAUACCGAUAUUGUACGAAAUGUUUAGAAAGUUGCAAAUAUAAAAGUUGAUUCAUGAAAAGCUCGUGUGUAUGAAUAAAUUAUUUUUAAAUUUGAAUCACGAUCAUGAAACUUACACAGGUAAUCAGCGUUCGGAUAAUUGGCGCUCAACUGUACAAGCACGUAAGAAAGAAAGACACGUACCGAAAGUAGAUGGCAACGUCGGUGCCAAUGGUAGAACUUGCCAAAAGUCCUGUGUAGGACAAAAAACCAACGGGUGCUGAACCAAACAAAUAAGAAGGAAAAUUAAUGGAAAGCCACUAAGUACAAUGCAAGAGAGAGAAGAUUCAAGUACUGAUAGAUUGAUGCGGAAAAUUUGGCAAGUGGUAGUACGAUACAGGAACGAGUAAAAUGCAUCAAUAAAAAAAAAAAUAAUAAUAAUACAAGUUUUUAACUAAUUGAAUAAAAAUAUGAAAUGAGAUUAGAGCCAGCCUUGUGCACAAGGAUAUGUGAUAAAUAAUCGAUUCGCACAUUCGCACAUAGUAUACACAUAAUACUUUGUAUGCUAAGCUAACGCGAAGCAGUUUAUAUACGUAUUUCGUGUAUGCUUUGUGUUUUAUGUAAGUCGAAUUCACGACUAGGAGAAUGAUUAACGCGAGAAUAGUUAUCUGGCUGAAAUGAAUGUUGGACGAUAAUUAUGUUUCUUCGCUAACAACAUAGAAGUAACUGGUAACUUUAAACAACUCCGAUUGAUAUUAUCGGUAUUAUUAUUCAUUAUAUAGUUAUCUUCGACUGCUUCUCGAAUGUUAAGGUAAAAUUUAAUUUCCUGUUUUUCCUCGUUGUUUAUCAGUAUCCUCUAGGUAACAAGUAUUGACAUUUCUCUUUAAAUUUCAAUCUGUUUUAUUUCACGAUCUUCCGAUCAUAAAUUGUCAAUGGAAUCGAGUCUUGAUACAACGAUAUCAAGAGAGUAUGAUUUAUCGAAGGCGAACAACAAACAAAUUGAUCCCCGUCGUUGGAGUUUAAUUGAAUGACUUUAAUUAAUUCUUAGCGAGACGGUGGAUGCUUGAUAAUUGUGAUUAUAAGGAAAGAGAAUGGUCAUUGUACCAAAUGAGAUCGUCACAAAUACACGAGAGCUAAAAAUACGUUGGUACUUAAAAAGAUAAAUAGCACUCUGAAUGAAAAUAGAAAUUGAGACUAAAAUUAUUUAGUGCAAAUAAAAAAUAAUGAAAUAAUUACUUAUUACAUAGAAUUUUUGGAACAAUUCAAAAUUUUGAAUCAUAACAUAACAACAUAAAAUCAAGGUGUUUCGAAAAUUUUAAGGAAAGAGAUGAUUCAUUCUAAUGAAUUUUAAAGACCAGUUGUAUUUGAAACCAGUUUUCUUUUUCACGUAACUACUCUCGCCAAUUUAACCUUGAUUGCGUGCCGUCGAACAAAAAAAAACUAAUAGAGAUUGGUCAAAGAUAAACAACAAGAGGAAAAGAGCUUCUUCUUUAAACAUUUUUUUCUUUUCGAAUCAUAAACAUGUUUAAACAGGUUCGACCAAUGUUCCAGUUCAUGAAUAUCAAAAGAUAGAUAGUAGUGUAUGUUUCAUAUUCGAAACAUCUAGUGGAGUAUCAAUUAUCAUUAGAAGUUUAUCAAUACAUACAAGAAUAAGAUGAGCAACAAUUAAAAACGACUUUUUUAACGUAGGAGUAAAUUGCAUCUUAUAAAGAGGAAUAACGAGGAAGAAUCAAAUGAAUCCUAACUACACACUUGGAAUUAAUAUCUUGGUAGAUAUAGAAAAUAAAAAGAAAAGUUUUUCAGUCAGUUUUUGCGUCAACCAUUUAGUCAAAUCAAAAUGCUUACGUUGGGAUUUUUCAUAAAAAAGACCAUAAGGAAUUACCUACAUUGUCAUUGGUCAUGUUGCAGUUAAUAUAGUUCAGAGGUACGUGCCAAUAUCACUAAAAAUACAGAGACCGUAGAAUGCGUAGAGAGGUUGCUGUUACGGCUCACGUACGAAAUUAAAUAUUAAUGCAGCUAAAUAAGAGCGAUAUGUAGCCGUUGCUUGUAAAAAAUGUUUAACUUAAUCUGAUAGGAUGCUUAUAUCACGUUAUUAUACACGAGGUUAACAAAUUGCCGGGAGCGCAUUCAGAAAAAAUUGAAAUUGGUGUCAACAUAAAAUAACUUUAAACUUUUUUGGUAUAUCAAUGUAUUUCUCAAAAGAAUUAAGAAAAUAAGAAACAUGCAAUUUAUGAAAAUUUUAGAACAAUGUUAUACCAAAGAAUAUCUACCAGAUAUUAAUACAAUAUCAAGUCUAUCUUCUUCGUUUACGAAAAAGAAGAAAAAGAUGAACAUACGAAUGUGAAUAGUCAGGUGAAAUUAAAGCAGAUUUAUUCAUAUUCAUGUAUGCAUAAAGGAAAGAUAUACUAAUGAAUAAUUAUAAAUGUGCAACUAUUUACCAUUUUGGAGGAGCUUGGAGUAGUGUACGGAUCAACGCGCGAACUCAUAAUAGAGAUGAACGUUCUACACUUCUCGCCAAUUAAAAAGAAACAAACAAAAGGUCAAUGGUAAAAAAAAAGAAAACUUCUCGUCGAGAAGAAGACAAACAUUUAAUCCAACAUUACGAUAGUGGGAAAGAUGAGUAACGAAAUAUUUGAGACACAACUAAAUUACGUUAAAUGUCAGCGGCGAAAGACACCAGUGUACUGAAUAAGAACGCCGCGAUACGACACCGACGAACAUUAACGAGAAACCACGAAGUGAACCGAUGAUCAUCGAACAUUUUCGGUUGUUUGUGGGUAAAACAGAUUAACCGCGCGAAUAAACUUAAAAUUGAAUUGUGUAAAUAACAAAAUAACUUUUCAUUGUUUCAGUGAAUGUCUCGCAAAUAAUGUUUUGCGAAUGUUUCUAGAUUAUAUUUGUUUAAAUACUGAUAUUAAUAUCUAAUUUAAUUUAUUAUGAAUAAGCAUUUUCUAAUAUCUAUUUAUAAAUUACAAUCUAUCUGUCAGAUAUUCAAUAAUUUACUACGAUUUUAAAAAAGAAUAUCAGUAUUAAUCCUGGACUAGUUGUCACAAAUAAGUAGCAAGUUCUUUCGAAAUUAGAUCAGCUUUAAAGUUAUAAAAUUUUUAGAGAUUUUAAAAUAAACUAACCGUGAUCAAACAAGAUCAUUUUCUUGCAAUAACGAUUGCAACAGCUUCGUUUACAUCGUACAUCCACAUCAAAGGAUAGGUGAAAAUAUAAACUAAUGUUCGACCGAUGCUAAAACAAAUUUACCGUCUUUUCAACGAUUUCUAAACAUUUUUGGCAUCUCAAAUUUUGCAUCAAGACGUACGUAACUGUUAAUAGCAUAACAGCAACUAUAAAUGGCACUUUAAAUGGCAAGGUUGCAACAGAAAGUCGAUUUACAAUAUGGAAUCUUCGAAGAGUUCAAUCAUGAAUGGCAAGCCCCAUGAAGAAGUUAGACAUCGAAUAAUGUUCUCUGAUACUGAGAAAAACUCGGAAACAGUUCUUAAUAGUUCACAGGAAAUCCGAUUGAAAAAUCAAUCGUUUCGAGAAAACCUCAGAUAUAGAAUAUAUUCUUGAUUUAGAAUAUAUUUUUGUAUCAUCUCAAAGACUCUAAUAUGGGUAUGAAAGAAUAUUUUAAUCUCUGCAUAUAUAUAUAAAAUUUAUCUAACUAAAUAUAAUAGUUAUCCAUACUUAUUACAAGGAAGAAUAUUAUACUUGUUUCUUACUAUAUUAUCAAAUCUUAUAGAAUUGUAUUAAUGUAUUAAACAAGCCACGAAAGUGUCAACAUUUUGCAAGAACAAAGUAUCUUCACAUGGUUGAAACAAUUAAUUAGUAUCUACGAUGCACGCUGAAGAAGUAAGAAAAUUUCUGCGAAUUUCCAACGGGUGUAGUUACUUCGCCUUAUUGAGAUUAAAAAGAUUCAUAAUAUCGGAUGUUCGUAACAGAUUACUCGCAGUAUCCUGUUAUUAUCCGAGAAUCAUUGUUAUGCUGUUAUGUACAAAUGUAUUUGUGGAUAUAUGCAAUAAUGGCGCAGAUUGGGUCUGAGAAAUUCUACAUUUCAUUUUUACUAUGAAAUAAUGGAAGAUUAUAACGUGACAGAAUUAAAAGAAUUAGAAUUAAAAAUAGAAGAAAUUAUUGAAUUCGUCGAAUCACUUACAAGAACUGUGCUCAGCUCGUCGACGAGUUUCCAUAUUAAUAAGUCGCAGAGGAACCAAUCUAGGAAUUCCAAUGAUUUACCACCAACAGGUUUUCGGAAUUUCUUAUCAGAAAGUUCAUACAAACAACACAAAAUUAUCUUUUCCUCGACUGAAUAAAGUCGACACUUUCGUCGUUAUUUGACGAGAUCUUUUCACUUAAUUUUAUCACAAUACUGACAAAGCCGAAGUUAUUAGUUUGUAUUUUUUGAUUUAAUAGCGUCUCUUCCUACAAUUACAAUAAUUUGAUAAUUUUAUGAAGCAUUCAUGUUCCACAACAGACGACAAAUGAAUACGAAAAUCGAUUCCGUGCAUGAAACGACGCUAAACUGUAUCAUUCAAUGUUUCGAUAAAUUAUAUUUAUCCUUCUAGGUUUAAAUAACAAUAUAUCCCCCACUCAGAAACGGGAAUAUAACAUGGAUACACUCUUUCAUCUGAAGAUAAGAUGAACGAUGGAAAACUAACGGAAACAUAGAGGAACUGAACGAAAAGAAUGCAAUAUCGUUAGAUUCUAUACUUAACCGGCCACGGUACGACGUGCAAUGUCCCGUUCGAGAGAAAGAUAUUAAAGGAAAAGUUAUUCGAGAUUGGAGUAAGCGUAAUUGUUACGGGUUUUGGGUCAUUGGCUCCCGUAUGAAUACAAACAUGCAUAGCUUCAUUUCCGUGUAAAACCUUGGCUCAAUUUUCUGCACUUAAUGGUAUAUACAGACGAAUUACUUAUGUAAUUCAAAGUCAGGAAGGCAUGAUUUCCUUCCAAAGAAAUUAAUUUUCCGCUUGGUGAAUUUCGUAAUAAAACUGAUUCUGCGAUCAAUUAUUUAAAAAUAUGAAAAAGAAAUAAAAAUAUAAUAAUCUUUAUCAUAAUAAAUUAUAAAAUAGUACCGUAUAUUUGCGUCUAUUAUAUUAUGGAAAAAAAAUUGAAUAAAAUCACAUAUCGUGAUAUUAUUAUAUAUAAACGUAAAAAUUGACGUUUAUUCAAUAACUUUGAAGUAGUGUAACACAAUGUUCAAUCGAACAAGUUGUCAAUGGAAUAACAUAUUAACUUAAUGAAUAAACAUGAUACAUAAAUAGAAUAGAUGACGUAAACAAGUGAAAUUGAAUAUGAAAUAAAUGCAAUGGAAAGUGAAAUUUUAAUAUAUUUGAAUAUAUUACCAUUCAUCUACGAUAAUGGUUCACAACAUUAUAUUACAAAAUUCAAAAACUAAACAUUGUCAUGUUGAAAAUUUCGUUUCUUUCGAGAAGAGAAUCGAAGCAAAUCAUUCUUUGUAUUUAGUUAAAUAUGUAUUUACUU
Long non-coding RNA from Frieseomelitta varia, 5849 nucleotides. RefSeq lists it as uncharacterized. Lineage: Eukaryota; Metazoa; Arthropoda; Insecta; Hymenoptera; Apidae. The record is from RefSeq and is a predicted model, not a curated record. The transcript has 14 exons.